RNAcentral lists this long non-coding RNA (513 nucleotides) under Helianthus annuus (common sunflower). RNAcentral describes it as "hypothetical non coding rna". The record is from RNAcentral. Lineage: Eukaryota; Viridiplantae; Streptophyta; Magnoliopsida; Asterales; Asteraceae.
AUGACGGUUGUCAACCGGCUAGGUUCCGGAAGGUUCCGACAAUUUCUGAUGGUGCUUUGUAUUGGUUUUUGGUUGAAGAAGAUGUUGAAUGAUUGUUUUGAAUUAAGUUUAUAAAUAGUAUAUUAAACUCGUGUAUGUUUCAAUUGCACAUGAAUUGAGCUCGUGUAUGUUUCAAUUGCACAUGAAUUAAGCUUGGUUUAAGCAUAUUAAUUCUGAUGUUCAAGUAAGAGAUCUUGAAUUGAGCUCCAAUUUAUUUCAACUUGUGUUUUAGUUACAUGUAGAUAGCAAGAUAAGCUAAAAAAUAUCAUGUAGAUGUCUGAGACUGUGAAGUAGGACUAGAGGCCCCUCAGUACAAGGCGAAGCACACAUCGGCUUAGGUGAGGUUGAGGAUAGGUGCAGGAGAAAAGGGCUAACCGGUUGUUCUGGCAGUUCCAUAUUUGUUCAGUUUGUAUACUGCGUGCUUUGGAUGCAUUAAGAUACCUCGACUUAACUGCUGCAAGUAAAAGGUGAGAG